CUCUAAGUGGAGGCUUCGGCCAAAGCUUAGAGUGGACAGCGGCGAAAGGGUGAGUAACGCGUAGUUACCUGCCCCAGGGUCCAGAAUAGCCUCGGGAAACUGAGGGUAAUGCUGGAUAAUAUCUCCGGAUCAAAGGUGAGAUUCCGCCCUGGGAGGGGACUGCGUACUACUAGCUUGUUGGUGGGGUAAUGGCCUACCAAGGCUACGAUGGUUAGCGGGCGUGAGAGCGUGGCCCGCCACACUGGGACUGAGACACUGCCCAGACACCUACGGGUGGCUGCAGUCGAGAAUCUUCCUCAAUGGGCGAAAGCCUGAAGGAGCAAUGCCGCGUGCGGGAUGAAGGCCCUCGGGUUGUAAACCGUGAAAGUAAGGAGGAAGGCUCUGCGAAGAGCAGAGUUUGACCGAUUUACAGUAAGGACGGGCUAAGUUCGUGCCAGCAGCCGCGGUAAGACGAACCGUCCAAACGUUAUUCGGAAUUAUUGGGCUUAAAGGGUGCGUAGGCGGCGCUGUAAGUCAGGUGUGAAAUCCCACGGCUCAACCGUGGAACUGCGCUUGAUACUGCAGUGCUUGAGGGAGACAGAGGUAAGCGGAACUGAUGGUGGAGCGGUGAAAUGCGUUGAUAUCAUCAGGAACACCAGUGGCGAAAGCGGCUUACUGGGUCUCUUCUGACGCUGAGGCACGAAAGCUAGGGUAGCGAACGGGAUUAGAUACCCCGGUAGUCCUAGCCGUAA
This 731-nucleotide ribosomal RNA is filed under the name uncultured Planctomycetota bacterium. RNAcentral's name for it is "bacterial SSU rRNA". It matches the Rfam family "Bacterial small subunit ribosomal RNA", at positions 62 to 805 of the family's 1533-position model. The record is from RNAcentral. Lineage: Bacteria; Pseudomonadati; Planctomycetota.